This 6657-nucleotide long non-coding RNA is filed under the name Aquilegia coerulea. RNAcentral describes it as "long non-coding RNA (ACOE_LNC000681)". Lineage: Eukaryota; Viridiplantae; Streptophyta; Magnoliopsida; Ranunculales; Ranunculaceae. The record is from RNAcentral.
UGCAAAUAAACCCGGUCGAGUUGCCAUUCUCAUUCUACAGAGAAGAGAGAGAGAGAGAGAAAGAAAGAAGGUUGUAAGAGUUGUAAGAAUGGGGUUUAUGAGAGGAGAAGCACUAGUAUCGAAGGUAGCAGCUUUAGUAAAGUAUGUUGUUUUUCCAUCUGUAAUGGCAGCGUCUGUAAUUUAUUCUCCACCUGAUUACGUUAUCAAGAAGGAUAACGACCCCAACACCAAGUGAUCUGAAACAUAUUUCAAAUCUGGUUUGUUUAAUUUCCUUUUCUUGAUUUCUAGAUUUCUAGUUAGGUUAUUCUUUUUUAAUUAAAUUGAUUUGAUAUAUAAUCUGGUUCUGGUUCUGGUUUAGAUUAGAUUAGAUUAGAUUAUUUGCUUUUGAUUUAUUGUUGAAACUAGGGUUUGUCAUUAAAUUGAAAGAAAUUAUAGAUUAAUUCAUGGAAAAACGUAGAUUCUGAAGAAAUAGUUAGCUUUUUCUUGGGUUUGAUCAUAUGUAUUAUUUUUGACAUUAGCUGCUUUAUUAGAUAGAUUGGCGACCAGAAGUAAUCUAUGUAUGCACAUAUUAAAUGCUAUAAAAACAUGAAUUUCAAUUGUGAAAUAAAAAGGCUAAUGUGAUGUGGAAAGAAAAAACAAUGAGAAACAGAAAAGUUGUUAUACUGAAGAUUUACUGUAUUUAUGAAUCAGACUUUUUAAGGUUAGAGGAACCAGCUUGAAGUUUUAUUCGGAUAUAUACUCUUCGUCAUCAAGUACAAACAAGAAAUAUAAGCAAGGAAUGAAUCUUCAUGUUACUAAAGGGUUUGCUAGAAAUUAUAAUUUUCCUUUAUCAUUGUUAGGUUGUUUGAAUUUUAUUGAAUUCUCCCAUGCAAAAUUAUGUAUCAACAAGAGACAGUUGAUCGAUAACAACUGCACCUAUAAAUUUUUACACUCAGUUAGCUUUUAAAGGGAAAUGAGAAAGUAUGAUUUUCUUUGGAUAGAGAAAUUUUUUACACACUGUGCUCUUUCUUUUAUAAGUUCUGCACAUUCUCUUAUGUGUCUCCAAUGUUGUUUGUUGGGAUAUCUUCAUUUAAUAUAAUUUGUGGAUAUUUUUUCAUUGGGAGUUUUCCCAUUAUAAGAGGUAGCACUUAUGUUUCCGACAUGGGGAUUGAUAUCAGUUUCUCUGUGGAGAAUAUCUGUAUUUUUACUGUCUUUAUAGGUUACAAUCUUGAUAGUGAAGUUAAUGUAUGUAUCUAACAUGAAUCUUUUCAUACAGAAACUUUAUGCUGGUCCAGUUCCGUCUUCAAAAUGAUCGGUGUUCUGCCAUAGGUUAUGGUUGGUCGUUCUGCUUUUGUCUCUUUGUUUUUGUUCAAAAUGUAGAAAUGCAGAUCCCUAAUGAAGUGUAUCUGAAAUUGACUGAAAUGUUAAAUAAUUUCGUAUGUUAGUUUUUAUGCUUGCAUGUGAAGAAUAUCGAUAAAGAAACAUUAUUGUUUUUUCAAUUAUGUUCAUAUAAAUGAUUUGUAAGACACCCUUUGUUCGAGCUGUCAAGCAGAACAAAACAUUCUCAAUGAAAAACUAGUGCAAAACUAAAUCUGUGGUUCUGGCAUUUUUAGGCUUUCAGUCAAACUAGUAUCUUGGAGUUGUGAUGGUUUUACUUGCUUUCACACUGAAAAAUGAAGAACAUACGUGUGUUACCUAGCAGCUCAGCCCAUUACAUGUAUGUUCCGUUGAACGAUUUUUUUCAUCAGAUUUUGUAAGACGUCUCUGCUAAGUGCUAACCCUUUGCCGUAUAUGUCUGGCCAUUUGUAAUCAGUGCUUGGGGAUGAACUACAUCCUAAAGUCUUCCAAGUUAAAUACUAAGAGUGCUACACUAACAGACUCGAUAACACAGAAAGUAUGCAGUCAAAAUAGUGCCCUAGGCUCAUCCCACCGCCUCACGCCUAGAGGCACCUAGUUCGCCGUGCAGUAUUGCCUACUGCCACCUACAGUCAAUGAGGCUCGUUCCUAUCCUUUAGGCUCAUCCUUGGCGUCUAUAUAGUAGAUAUGAAGCAAUUUCCAUCUCUCUUUGAAGUUGUGAAUGGUCUUGUUCAUGAAGAGAAUACAUACAUUAAUAAGGGGUUGAAAGCUAUUUACAUGAACUUGCAACCCUUUUAUGUAUGUGACUGUAACACAGACUGUACCAUAUAUAGAUAUCUGCACAGGAUGGUGACACCUCAGAAUUAGGUUGGUUGGCACUUAAUUUCAGUCGGUAGAGUGAGACAAUAGCUUGAUCAUUUGCUAGUUGGUGAUGCUUGCAUUGGACGGUGCUACCACAUAGAGACAAAUGCCCUCAAAGUAUUUUCCGUAGGGCACUCAUGAGAGCAAAGAAGUCGGUUCUUUUGAGUUGCAAACUAGUGGUAGGUAAACUUCAACAAAUUCAAAUUAAUUUCACAAAAUGAUAUAUUAUCAAGUGUGGUGGCCCAUGGGUAUACUCUAGACAUACAUAUUUUAAGGAUGCUUAGAGGCCAAAUUCAACAGUGAAUACUGUGUGAAUAGAAUUGUUUUUUUUAGCAGCAAGUAUGAAUAGAAUUGUAGAAGUGGAUGCUGGUGAAGCAAGUAGAGUUAAGGACUGCUGUGCAAAAUCAAUAAGGUUCAAGCGCAAGGUACCAAGAUAUAUUCACCUCAACUUCCUCAAAGGCUCAAACCAGUUUGAUUGAUCAAGAUUUAAUCUUACAUGGAGAGCCAGUAAUCAAUUUUGGUACUAGGAUGUGGUUUGUGCUUUGCUCUUGUGCCCUCUUAAAAGUUUUCACUCUACCUCCUUAGUCCACACUUGAGCUACUAAGAUUUGGCCUGGCCUAAAAGACAUUGUUUGUUUCUUAGCAACCUUAUCCUCCUAGGGUCACACUUUAGUAGGUAUAGUUGAAAAGAAUUAGCGAAUUCAUUCAACACAAAAAGUUCUUAACAUGUUCUUUGGAAGCAACUGUUGAAAUUUGCUUGCUAGAAUUCCUUUUGGGUGGCCUGACGGACGAGGUCACCAUACUAAAUAAGGCCGUAAGCAGUGGCUCGACAGAUAUGGUUCGAAUCAAGCGAAACCAAAGGCAUUCGUUGGCACCCGAGAUGCCAAGGCGUUAGAGAACCACUUUUGGGAUAUGGAGCGGCUUGUCGGACUACGCCCGAGGAGGCGUUUACAAGCUUGUGAUAUUUGGGAGCUAUAUGCUCGAUUCCAAGUAAAUGAAUUCACCACGCUUUUCCAUUUAAAGCUGUUUAUGCACUGCUUGUCCACUACUCUCUGUUACUAUAUUCUGACUGUAUUAAGGCAACCAUGCAAGCAUAAAACUCCAAGCACCUACGCAUGCAGUUAGAACCCUUUGUCCAGCAUCAAUAAAUGUGACAACUAACCCAUAAUCUCAUCAUUCCCGUCACAUCAGAUAAUUCACAAGGGAGUAGAGAAUCCAGAGAAGCAAUCUUUGAACAGAAAACACCAAAUACAUAUAUGCCAAACAAUCCAUCUUACAGCCCCAAAAUAUGAUAAUUUGGAUUAUAUAUUUAUAACUAUUUAUAGAAGUAUAUAAGAUAUUAAUUAAGCAUCCUGAGGUCCAUAUUGGAUCUCUUGUGCAUCAGAUGAUGGGAGGUGGAGGAUCUAGCAUCAUCUGAAAGCGAGUCCUGUUGAAAGCAACUGAAGUAGACAUUUCAUGAACUGUAUCAACAUCAUCAGCUGAAAACCCCAAAACACUGCUACAAUCCAUCUCAAAAGACAAUGGGUCUUGCCAUAGAUUUUGUUGAACUUUAUCCAUACAGUUGAAGGUAGCAUCAAAGGGUUGAAAAUGGGGAAAGUUGGUCUCCCUCUUGAACUGUUUGGGAACAGUAGGUUCUUUCAAAAUGCUGUCUUGAUUUGAGAGGGAGUUUUUAAACAUGAAGGAUGAUAAUGGGCUGGUGUCUUUUAUUGAUGUUGGUGAGUAGGUGGAUUGGAAGUUUGUAUGGAAAUCAUGAAGUUGAAUGGCAUAUGGGUUGAGUAUAGCUUUGAGAUCAGAUUCUUGCUUAAGAGCAAAAGAGUUUUGAAGGGAGUGUAAUGGUGUCUGAGUUACUGUAGUGGAGGAUUCAAGCAUUGGUGGCAGAAAGUUUGAAGGGGAAGAAAAUACUUCUUGAAAGCAGGUGUGGGCAUGGAAUAGUGGGGAUUUCUUCUCUCCUGUCUUUUGCAGUAUUCUGCAAAGAACCCAUUCUUCCUGCAACACAGUAGUUAAAGUUCAAUAACUCAUUCAGAGCACCAGAGUGCACAGUUUAACUAGAGAGCCACAGGACAAUGGUUCCUAUACCUUAAACGUGUGGCUAAAGGAAGAGAAGUCACCCUCAAGGCGAUACUCAUGCAUAACCCACUUGGUCUUCACACCACGAGGAGCUCUUCCUUUGUAGAAAACAAGUGUUUUCUUCAUACCAAGUAAUGAAUCAUCUGAAGCACUAUAAACCUCUUUAUCUUUACCAGUUGCUUUCCAGUAGCCAGCUUCAGUUGCUCUGUUGGUUCUCAACCCAGUUGGGUAUUUUCUAUCUCUUUGGCUAAAGAAGUACCACACUCUCUCUCCCAUUUUAGCUAUAUCUAAGAAUAUAUACCAAAGUAAAAAUAAAAAAAUGUACACCAGUUUAGUGACUAAUUACAUCAAGAAUAGACAUAAAGUGUAAAGAAGGUGCAGUGAUUAAGAAAAAAGCUUUCACUUAAAAGAUUGAUGCCAACCCAAAAUAGAAAAAACUAGAGAAUCUUUAAAAGAUAGACAAGACUUUUCUUUGUUUUAGCACAUAACUUUAUGAAGCUCAUAAUGUAAAACAAGACUACUCAUUUAACAAUGUAUCUUUUCAGGAUACUGUGGUUUAGUCUAUGGGUAUUUUGAGUUUACAUGCAAUUUAUAGUGUUAUUAAGGGGGAAAAUGUAGUGCACUUACACAGUAAUUUCUCAACUUUUUCACAAGAUGAUUUCAAGACCAUGAUGAUAUGAGUGAGCAAUGUAAUAGCUUCUCUCAAGGGAUCACAGUUCUCAGAGAGUCUACUGAAUAAGAUUUCUCACCUUAGUUUCAGGACUUUGAUCAGAGAGCAAUGUAUUUAAUUAUUUAUGUACUUAGCCUAAAAAAAUGCACUUAAAAAUUCAAUCCAGAACAUGAUAUUUGAAGUUAGAAUGAAAAAGAACAUACCUGGUAACUCCCAAGGCUCACAUCUAUUAAGAUCAAUCUCUGCAAUCUCUACACCACAAAAUCUUCCAUUAAAAACUUUUGAAGCUAAAUAAAAAGUUAUAAGCUCUUCAUCAGUAGGGUGAAACCUAAACCCUGGAGGCAACCCUUGUUCAUUUGUGUCUUCUCCAUGUAGUUCACAUAGAACUUCUUCCAUACCAAACAUCAUCAUAAACACACAAAUGAAAGUAAGAAGAAGCUAUGUGAUGGAGAGAAAUUAUAUAUUACCCUUCUUGUGUUCACUGGUGAACAGAUGGUUAAGUAAAGCAUAUAUAUAUAUAGUAGAAAGAAGCACUGAAAUCGAAGAUAUGGGUUUAUUAAAGCCUAUGAGUGGACCUACAAGUGCACCUGAGAGUGGCCUAUAUAGAAGGGGAAGAAGAGUAGAAGGUAGAGAGAGGAGUUAAUGCUAAGAAGUUGGUUGCAGGCAUUUAUGCGUGCGUGUGUGAGCAUGUUGUCAUAUUGUAUUGCAUAGAUUAUAGAUAUUUAGAGUCAGGGGUUUCAGUGAGAAAAAUACAAAGAGAGGGGUGAUAUCAUCCUUGCCAAUUCGCCACCCUAGCAUUAAAUGUAAAUCAAAUCUGUAAAUAGUGGCAUAAAAUUUUGAUCAUCUUCGAAAAUUAUCAUACUUUACUGUUGUAGCUAUCCACACAUAUUUAUGUCUUGGGUUGGUUUAUGGCAAUGAGUCUACCAAACUAGUCUGCACUCUGCACUUCUGCAGGGUGAUUUAUAUUCCUUAGUAGAGAAGUUGCACAUAAAAUGGCCGUGUUUAGAAUCAUAAUAUUUGGAUGGUCAGCAUAUCAUGUUAGUUUAAUGACUUGAGCGCAAUGCCAAAUAAUACUUGUGCUGCCAAUGUAAUAUGAAUCCCAAAAAAGUAUUGUUGAAAUUUAUAGAUGCCGAUAAGUGGCAAAUAGAAAUAGUGAGUCCAAUCCAAUAUACUAUGCAUUUCACCAUUAAAAGAAAAGAGAAAAAAGACUUUUGUGGCAUCUAAUUUUAAUACUGUAUGUCCAAAAAAACUCAUAUCAAUCACACAGUAGAGAAAAUUUGAUGAAGACACUCUGAAUGGAGAUGGAAAUGUGUUAGAUCUGACUAGACCCAUGUCAAGAUCUACAUAUGUCAUCUGGAUUUGGGUUGGGUGAAGAAGUAAGAAGAACAGUAGGAAGUAGGAACCACAUUGGGAUAGUGGUGGGCGAAUGUAAUAAAUGAAAUUGGUGCAGUUAAUUUGAAGGACGACCUGCACACCACAACAGCGCCACUAGCUAGCUAGUACACUUUACCUGCUACAUCUGACGACCUGAUAACAAAUCUCUCUAGCUUAAAUUUUUUAUUUUUUUCUUCUUGGCAGGAUUCCCAAGGAGGUAGUAGAAGAAGAUAUAUACAGUAUGAAACAGUUAAGUUGAGGAAGGAAACAAGCAAAGUAGAUUCUCAUUUAAUUCUUUUGUAUCUUCCUCGAUCUCACUCUGUUAGCUUUCUUUUGUAAACUGAAAACCAC